GUGCUUGCUUUGGCAGCACAUAUACUAAAAUUGGAACAAUACAGAGAACAUUAGCACGGCCCCUGUGCAAGGAUAACACGCAAAUUCGUGAAGCAUUCCUUAUUUUU
This is a small nuclear RNA of Cervus elaphus (red deer), 107 nucleotides long. NCBI's taxonomy places the organism in Eukaryota, Metazoa, Chordata, Mammalia, Artiodactyla, Cervidae. The record is from RefSeq and is a predicted model, not a curated record.